UAUAAUACAAAAAGUAUCCUCUUCUUUUUAAAGAUUUUAUUUAUUUAUUCAUAGGAAACAAGAGAGAGAGAGACAGAGACAUAGGCAGAGGGGAGAAGCAGGCCACCCAUGGGACUCCAAUCCUAGGACCCCGGGACCACGACCUGAGCUCAACCAAUGAGCCACCCAGGAAUAAAGUUGUAGCUGAUACUUUACCCACACAGUGAGAGAAUAUAUUCCUAAAUCUGCCUGGAAGUUUUGUUACUUAUUGUGGACCAGUGUGGUAUGCUGUAAGGCAGAUGUGAAUGAAACUGAGCCAGCUCUGACCCUGCAGAGGUAGACCAAUAUCCUAGAAGACCAUCAUAAUCUUGAAUAAUCUUAGAGAACAAAGUUGCUCCAUUAAUCUGGACCACUAACUCAUAUACUACUAAGAGAAAUAAAGUUCUCAUUUAAAUAAAGAAAUAAGGCACAGAAAGAUUUAAGGAACUUACUUAAGAUCAUAUGGCAGUGGCAGAAUCAGUAUUCAAGUACAGGCACUUGGGCUCCAAGUCGGACAGAACGAAAAAGGAAUGGCUAAGGAAUAAUUAGGAGCUUACCCUUCCUAUGUCAAAUGAUUUAAAUGGUCUAAACAAGUACUAAAGGGGAUGCAAGACAAAAUGACCAUGGAAAGAAGAAGCCAGUUUAAAACUUCAUUUGUACUUGGGCAACUGAUAGCAGACUGCUGCCACCCACCAAAACCCAAACACAUCCCAUACACAAAAACAAGAAUACCCAAACACAACAUAGCCAAACACCUUUAGAUACAAACUUGUUUAAGUCAGGGAGUGUAUCUUAUUUUUAUUUAUUCACUUCUAACACUUUUUAAAUGCUUAUUAUUUACGAUAGGCUGGGUAUAAAUACAGGGAAUAAUCCAAACCAGGUCCCUAUAUCCAGAGAGCUAAAGGUACUAAACAAGACACAGGUUAAUUAAUAUGAGUGCUACAAACAUCUAGAGAGCUAUGGACAUCUAUAAUGUUACCUGGAGGACCAAGAAAGGUGUUCCAGAAAAAAGAGAUAUUUCAGACUUAUACUGGUUCUCUACUGCUGCAUAACAAAUUACCACAGACUUAGUAGCUUAAGACAGCAGUCACUUAUUAAUUCACAGUUCUGUAGGGCAGAAGUCCAGGCAUGGUGUGGCUGCUCAGGAUCUCUUCUAAAGCUAAAAACAGAGUGUCAGGGAGUUCUGUUCUCAUCAAAAGACCUAAGGAAGAAUCUACUUUUAGGUUCAUUUAGGUAAAAUUGAGUUACUUGUGGUUGUGAGAUUGAGUUUUCAGUUUUCCUUCUUGACAGCCAGCCUUCUCUGUACCUAAAGACUGCCCAAUCCUUACCUGUGCUCCCCCUUCAAAGUCAGCAAGAGACACUCUGUCUCACAUCAAAACCCUUAAUGCCUUUGUUUCUGACUCUAAAUACACAAUUAAAGAGUUCAUGUAAUUAGGUCAGGCCCACCCAGAUAAUCUCACUUUCCUAGUCAACUGUGCCAGAUGUCAUAAACUAAUCACAGGAGUGCUAUCUUACCAUAUUUAUAGUACAGAAGAUCAUACAGAAAUGCACAUGGUGUGGGGGGAAGGUGAGAUUCCUGUAGACCAUCUUAGGAAUUCUGCCUACCAUUAGGGGCAACCUAAAGAAUGAACAGAAACUGAAGAUGAGGCAAGGGAGGUGGAGACCGUGAGGGCACAACUGAUAUCCUGAGUCAGGAAAGAGCAUGGAAAAGUAGAGGAAAAUAGUAUGUCUCACUGGACAUACCAGCAUAAUAACUGGUACCCAGUACCAGUCUUCCCAGUACCCAGCAUAAUAACUGGGACUAAUUUGUCAAGGGAAUGAACUAACAUACCAAGUUAUACCAAAUCAAGCUAGCAAGUACUUACUAAGAGCUUAUGUACUUAUAGCUAUGAGAAAAGCCAAGAAAUUUCUUGUAAUACUAAGCCAAAAGGCAGAACUGAAGGGUGAUAAACCAGAGGAGACAACAUUAACAGAGAAAACUGGACAUUAAGAAAACUGGGCCCGUAUCUCUUCUAAAUAUAAGUGACCAAAUCAAACUCCAAGGGCUUUGGCUUUGCUUCAUCUUUAACAGAGAUGAUUUAACUACUUGAUUUCUAACAUCCCUUUCCAAUACUAACUGUACUACAAAAUGGAAGGCACUGGUUCUUGCUCUGAGGCAAAUUCUAUUUAGGAAGUUUAUUUUUUUAAAUAUUUAUUUAUUCAUGAGAGACACACAGAGAGAGGCAGAGAC
Molecule: long non-coding RNA, 2248 nt
Organism: Canis lupus familiaris (dog)
Lineage: Eukaryota; Metazoa; Chordata; Mammalia; Carnivora; Canidae
Exons: 6
Source: RefSeq, a predicted model, not a curated record